AUGUUAUCAUGAGAUCUGGAGUAGUUACGGUCUGCUGCUGAGUUUUCUACUAUAGAUGCAAAAGAAGUGUCCUUGCAUUUUCUGUCUGAUUUGUGGCAGCCAAGAUUGAAUGAGGGAACGCAAGA
Neogale vison (American mink) is the source of this 125-nucleotide small nucleolar RNA. Lineage: Eukaryota; Metazoa; Chordata; Mammalia; Carnivora; Mustelidae. The record is from Ensembl.